CGCCUUCGCCACGCCCGCUCAAGAAACUUAAAUGAAUUGACGGGGGCCCGCACAAGCGGUGGAGUAUGUGGUUUAAUUCGAUGCAACGCGAAGAACCUUACCUGGUCUUGACAUCCCGGAGACCCUUAGGAAACUAGGGGGUGCUUCCAUCUGGAAGAAUCUGGAGACAGGUGCUGCAUGGCUGUCGUCAGCUCGUGUCGUGAGAUGUUGGGUUAAGUCCCGCAACGAGCGCAACCCUUGCCUUUAGUUGCCAGCAGUUCGGCUGGGCACUCUAAAGGGACUGCCGGUGUUAAACCGGAGGAAGGUGGGGAUGACGUCAAGUCCUCAUGGCCUUUAUGACCAGGGCUACACACGUACUACAAUGGCCGAUACAAAGGGCAGCGACACUGCGAGGUGAAGCCAAUCCCGUAAAAUCGGUCUCAGUCCGGAUUGGAGUCUGCAACUCGACUCCAUGAAGUUGGAAUCGCUAGUAAUCGUGGAUCAGCAUGCCACGGUGAAUACGUUCCCGGGCCUU
Molecule: ribosomal RNA, 514 nt
Filed under: uncultured Desulfobulbus sp.
Lineage: Bacteria; Pseudomonadati; Thermodesulfobacteriota; Desulfobulbia; Desulfobulbales; Desulfobulbaceae
Description: bacterial SSU rRNA
Rfam family: Bacterial small subunit ribosomal RNA
Source: RNAcentral